Molecule: long non-coding RNA, 273 nt
Organism: Melanotaenia boesemani (Boeseman's rainbowfish)
Lineage: Eukaryota; Metazoa; Chordata; Actinopteri; Atheriniformes; Melanotaeniidae
Exons: 3
Source: RefSeq, a predicted model, not a curated record
GUCAGUAGGUCAGCAGGAUGGUCAGUACGAUGGCCAGUAGGUCAGUAGGAUGGUCAGUGGGUCAGCAGGAUGGUCAGUAGGUCAGUGGGAUGGUCAGUAGGAUGGUCAGUAGGUCAGUGGGAUGGUCAGUGGGUCAGCAGGAUGGUCAGUAGGUCAGUGGGAUGGUCAGUAGGAUGGUCAGUAGGUCAGUGGGAUGGUCAGUAGGUCAGUGAGAAGGUCAGUAGGUCAGCAGGAUGGUCAGUACGAUGGUCAGUAGGUCAGUAGGAUGGUCAG